Molecule: transfer RNA, 76 nt
Filed under: Candidatus Caccopulliclostridium gallistercoris
Lineage: Bacteria; Bacillati; Bacillota; Clostridia
Description: tRNA-Thr
Rfam family: tRNA
About the family: Transfer RNA (tRNA) molecules are approximately 80 nucleotides in length. Their secondary structure includes four short double-helical elements and three loops (D, anti-codon, and T loops). Further hydrogen bonds mediate the characteristic L-shaped molecular structure. tRNAs have two regions of fundamental functional importance: the anti-codon, which is responsible for specific mRNA codon recognition, and the 3' end, to which the tRNAs corresponding amino acid is attached (by aminoacyl-tRNA synthetases). tRNAs cope with the degeneracy of the genetic code in two manners: having more than one tRNA (with a specific anti-codon) for a particular amino acid; and 'wobble' base-pairing, i.e. permitting non-standard base-pairing at the 3rd anti-codon position.
Source: RNAcentral
GCUACUGUGGCUCAGUUGGUAGAGCAGCUGAUUCGUAAUCAGCAGGUCGCGGGUUCGAGUCCCGCCAGUAGCUCCA